UUAGACACAGCAGGUCUGACACUGUGUGAGACGUCUAUUAGUUAGACACAGCAGGUCUGACACUGUGUGAGACGUCUAUUAGUUAGACACAGCAGGUCUGACACUGUGUGAGACGUCUAUUAGUUAGACACAGCAGGUCUGACACUGUGUGAGACGUCUAUUAGUUAGACACAGCAGGUCUGACACUGUGUGAGACGUCUAUUAGUUAGACACAGCAGGUCUGACACUGUGUGAGACGUCUAUUAGUUAGACACAGCAGGUCUGACACUGUGUGAGACGUCUAUUAGUUAGACACAGCAGGUCUGACACUGUGUGAGACGUCUAUUAGUUAGACACAGCAGGUCUGACACUGUGUGAGACGUCUAUUAGUUAGACACAGCAGGUCUGACACUGUGUGAGACGUCUAUUAGUUAGACACAGCAGGUCUGACACUGUGUGAGACGUCUAUUAGUUAGACACAGCAGGUCUGACACUGUGUGAGACGUCUAUUAGUUAGACACAGCAGGUCUGACACUGUGUGAGACGUCUAUUAGUUAGACACAGCAGGUCUGACACUGUGUGAGACGUCUAUUAGUUAGACACAGCAGGUCUGACACUGUGUGAGACGUCUAUUAGUUAGACACAGCAGGUCUGACACUGUGUGAGACGUCUAUUAGUUAGACACAGCAGGUCUGACACUGUGUGAGACGUCUAUUAGUUAGACACAGCAGGUCUGACACUGUGUGAGACGUCUAUUAGUUAGACACAGCAGGUCUGACACUGUGUGAGACGUCUAUUAGUUAGACACAGCAGGUCUGACACUGUGUGAGACGUCUAUUAGUUAGACACAGCAGGUCUGACACUGUGUGAGACGUCUAUUAGUUAGACACAGCAGG
Molecule: long non-coding RNA, 875 nt
Organism: Oncorhynchus keta (chum salmon)
Lineage: Eukaryota; Metazoa; Chordata; Actinopteri; Salmoniformes; Salmonidae
Exons: 5
Source: RefSeq, a predicted model, not a curated record